UGUCUGCAUUUUGAUCAGUUGUGGCU
Molecule: non-coding RNA, 26 nt
Filed under: Mus musculus (house mouse)
Lineage: Eukaryota; Metazoa; Chordata; Mammalia; Rodentia; Muridae
Source: RNAcentral